Molecule: ribosomal RNA, 406 nt
Filed under: uncultured bacterium
Lineage: Bacteria
Description: partial 16S ribosomal RNA
Rfam family: Bacterial small subunit ribosomal RNA
Source: RNAcentral
AUUGAACGCUGGCGGCAGGCCUAACACAUGCAAGUCGAACGAGUGGCGGACGGGUGAGUAAUGUAUGGGAAACUGCCCGAUGGGGGGGGAUAACUACUGGAAAGGGUAGCUAAUACCGCAUACUAUUGAAGGUGCCAAGCUGGGAUUGGCUAGUGGGUGGGGUAAAGGCUCACCAAGGCAACGAUCCCUAGCUGGUCUGAGAGGAGGACCAGCCACACGGGAACUGAGACACGGUCCAGACUCCUACGGGAGGCAGCAGUGGGGAAUAUUGCACAAUGGGGGCAAGCCUGAUGCAGCCAUGCCGCGUGUAUGAAGAAGGCCUUCGGGUUGUAAAGUACUUUCAGCAGGGAGGCGUUACCCGCAGAAGAAGCACCGGCUAACUCCGUGCCAGCAGCCGCGGUAAUUC